UCUGGUAUUGACUGAUGCUUGCAUCAUGAUUUACAUUUGAGUGAGUGGCGAACUGGUGAGUAACACGUGGGAAACCUGCCCAGAAGCGGGGGAUAACACCUGGAAACAGAUGCUAAUACCGCAUAACAACUUGGACCGCAUGGUCCGAGUUUGAAAGAUGGCUUCGGCUAUCACUUUUGGAUGGUCCCGCGGCGUAUUAGCUAGAUGGUGGGGUAACGGCUCACCAUGGCAAUGAUACGUAGCCGACCUGAGAGGGUAAUCGGCCACAUUGGGACUGAGACACGGCCCAAACUCCUACGGGAGGCAGCAGUAGGGAAUCUUCCACAAUGGACGAAAGUCUGAUGGAGCAACGCCGCGUGAGUGAAGAAGGGUUUCGGCUCGUAAAACUCUGUUGUUAAAGAAGAACAUAUCUGAGAGUAACUGUUCAGGUAUUGACGGUAUUUAACCAGAAAGCCACGGCUAACUACGUGCCAGCAGCCGCGGUAAUACGUAGGUGGCAAGCGUUGUCCGGAUUUAUUGGGCGUAAAGCGAGCGCAGGCGGUUUUUUAAGUCUGAUGUGAAAGCCUUCGGCUCAACCGAAGAAGUGCAUCGGAAACUGGGAAACUUGAGUGCAGAAGAGGACAGUGGAACUCCAUGUGUAGCGGUGAAAUGCGUAGAUAUAUGGAAGAACACCAGUGGCGAAGGCGGCUGUCUGGUCUGUAACUGACGCUGAGGCUCGAAAGUAUGGGUAGCAAACAGGAUUAGAUACCCUGGUAGUCCAUACCGUAAACGAUGAAUGCUAAGUGUUGGAGGGUUUCCGCCCUUCAGUGCUGCAGCUAACGCAUUAAGCAUUCCGCCUGGGGAGUACGGCCGCAAGGCUGAAACUCAAAGGAAUUGACGGGGGCCCGCACAAGCGGUGGAGCAUGUGGUUUAAUUCGAAGCUACGCGAAGAACCUUACCAGGUCUUGACAUACUAUGCAAAUCUAAGAGAUUAGACGUUCCCUUCGGGGACAUGGAUACAGGUGGUGCAUGGUUGUCGUCAGCUCGUGUCGUGAGAUGUUGGGUUAAGUCCCGCAACGAGCGCAACCCUUAUUAUCAGUUGCCAGCAUUAAGUUGGGCACUCUGGUGAGACUGCCGGUGACAAACCGGAGGAAGGUGGGGAUGACGUCAAAUCAUCAUGCCCCUUAUGACCUGGGCUACACACGUGCUACAAUGGAUGGUACAACGAGUUGCGAACUCGCGAGAGUAAGCUAAUCUCUUAAAGCCAUUCUCAGUUCGGAUUGUAGGCUGCAACUCGCCUACAUGAAGUCGGAAUCGCUAGUAAUCGCGGAUCAGCAUGCCGCGGUGAAUACGUUCCCGGGCCUUGUACACACCGCCCGUCACACCAUGAGAGU
This 1373-nucleotide ribosomal RNA is filed under the name Lactococcus lactis. RNAcentral's name for it is "bacterial SSU rRNA". It matches the Rfam family "Bacterial small subunit ribosomal RNA", at positions 62 to 1411 of the family's 1533-position model. The record is from RNAcentral. Lineage: Bacteria; Bacillati; Bacillota; Bacilli; Lactobacillales; Streptococcaceae.